RNAcentral lists this long non-coding RNA (1238 nucleotides) under Coturnix japonica (Japanese quail). RNAcentral's name for it is "lncRNA (ENSCJPG00005008423.1)". The record is from RNAcentral. Lineage: Eukaryota; Metazoa; Chordata; Aves; Galliformes; Phasianidae.
AAGCUCUCUGCCAUUUCCAAAGGAGAUAAAUCUACCUAGAGCCCUGGGAAGCAGAAUUGCUCUUCUUUUUUGAAGGCACUGAAGGGCCAGUAGUGAACUGGCAGUGAUCAUGACAGAGCCCCUCAUCACUCCAGCCCUCAGCACAUGGGCCCAGGUGUCAUGGAUGAUAUGCUCUGCUGAGGAAGAUCACAGUGAUCUUGAUAUGAUGGUGCAGGUUCUCAUCUUGCUUGGUAUAUAGUAGAGCUUUUCAUCAUCAGGAGAUGGAUGGCAAAUGGAGUAAGACAAAUACCUUCCAUGGAAAAUAUUUGCAGAAUUAAACGGAUGAAUAUCAGGUACCUUUGAUUAGGCACAGAGAAAAAGUAGUAAAGGGGGAAAUCGAGAGAUUUAUUUCUUAUAUCUUGUCUCUGUUCCCCAGAAAAAAUGAAUUAAAAAAUUAGUAUAAUUCAGAUCAAAAAGCUCAUUCUUAGUACUGGUGGAUAAACUGUGCUGUGUAGUGUGAUUUAAAUGAGGAGAACUUCAGAGAAGAACUAGAAUCUUGGAAGAAUGUUUGGAAUUUAUUUUUAUAAAAGGUGGACAUUCACAAAUUUUAUUCAAAAUUUUUGUGGUGUAUGUUCACCUGUUAGGCAAUACCAUCUGACUACCAAGCUGCAUCAGUAUUUAAUUUGAAACUGUCAUUAUAACACUAGAAAAAGAAGUUUGUAAAGCCAAAGAAGAGACUUCGAUAAGUAGGCUGCCUUUCUGUGUGUGCUUUUCUUGUCUGAGCUUCUUGAAAUAUAUUUAUUUUCAUGCCUAUCACAUUGUUAAUGAGUUUUCUUCUAUAAACUGACCCUGACUGCUACUCUAAAAUAUAUUUUAAAUGAAGUGUGUCUAUACACAUUGAAUCAUACAGAGAUCUUGCUUGUUGGUACUUCAAAACUAAAUAAUUUUUUUGAAAGAUGACCGUUCAUGAACAGGCUUAGGGUCCAAGCUGUCCCAACAAAGCUCCCUCUAGAUCUUUUUCUUAUUUACCCAUCUCCAAAAUGGAUUUAAAAUACCACUUAACCCAGUAGCAUUUCACACCAUCUUUUCUUAAAUAUAGAUGAGUGUUCAAGGUACAAGACAAGAAAACAGUACCCAUUAUGUUCCUUAUGAAAUAGAAGCCUUAGAUGGUAGCAGAAAUUAGUUAAUUUUGGGUGUGACCAGCAAGUUAAACUCUUAGUGGGAAAAGAUUAUAGCAAAACAGGUUUUGUGUAUAAUUA